CGGCGGACGGGUGAGUAACACGUGGAUAACCUACCUAUAAGACUGGGAUAACUUCGGGAAACCGGAGCUAAUACCGGAUAAUAUAUUGAACCGCAUGGUUCAAUAGUGAAAGACGGUUUUGCUGUCACUUAUAGAUGGAUCCGCGCCGCAUUAGCUAGUUGGUAAGGUAACGGCUUACCAAGGCAACGAUGCGUAGCCGACCUUAGAGGGUGAUCGGCCACACUGGAACUGAGACACGGUCCAGACUCCUACGGGAGGCAGCAGCC
RNAcentral lists this ribosomal RNA (266 nucleotides) under uncultured Staphylococcus sp. RNAcentral describes it as "partial 16S ribosomal RNA". It matches the Rfam family "Bacterial small subunit ribosomal RNA", at positions 96 to 355 of the family's 1533-position model. The record is from RNAcentral. Lineage: Bacteria; Bacillati; Bacillota; Bacilli; Caryophanales; Staphylococcaceae.